UCAUCUCAAGAAUGCAAACAUAAGUGCUAGAGGCACACCUCAUCCGAAAGAAGAGAAGCUAAUCAUGUUACUUCAUGAGUACAUGGAAAAAAUAGGAUGGGCAAUGACCAAAUCAAAAGGAGUGCUACACUUUUUGCUCAAUACAGUUGGGACUCUUUUCCCUUCUCCAAUUACUUGAGCCUCGAUCAAGUGGAUCGCACCAUGCACACCACACCCAGGGGAGUACUCAGUUUCCUUUAUUCUUUUAUGUUUCUUAUAUAUUGAGGACAAUGCAUGAUUUAAGUGUGGGG
Molecule: long non-coding RNA, 290 nt
Filed under: Manihot esculenta (cassava)
Lineage: Eukaryota; Viridiplantae; Streptophyta; Magnoliopsida; Malpighiales; Euphorbiaceae
Description: long non-coding RNA (MESC_LNC001098)
Source: RNAcentral